AACGAACGCUGGCGGCAUGCCUAACACAUGCAAGUCGAACGAUACCAUCGGGGAUAGUGGCGCACGCGUGCGUAACGCGUGGGAACGUGCCGUUAGGCUCGGAAUAACACAGAGAAAUUUGAGCUAAUACCGGAUAAUGUAUUCGGACACAAGAUUCAUCGUCUUUGGAUGGGCCGGCGUUGGUUUAGCUAGUUGGGGGGGGAAAGGCCUACCAAGGAGACGAUACGUAGCUGGUCUGAGAGGAUGAACAGCCACACUGGAACUUAGACACGGUCCAGACGCCGACGGGAGGAAGCAGUGGGGAAUAUUGGACAAUGGGCGCAAGCGUGAUCCAGCCAUACCGCGUGGGUUAAGAAGGCCUUCGGGUUGUAAAGCCCUUUUGUUGGGAAAGAAAAGCAGCAGGUUAAUACCCCGCUGUUCUGACGGUACCCAAAGAAUAAGCACCGGCUAACUUCGUG
This 458-nucleotide ribosomal RNA is filed under the name uncultured bacterium. RNAcentral's name for it is "partial 16S ribosomal RNA". It matches the Rfam family "Bacterial small subunit ribosomal RNA", at positions 29 to 507 of the family's 1533-position model. The record is from RNAcentral.